AGUGAACGCUGGCGGUAGGCCUAACACAUGCAAGUCGAACGGCAGCACAGUAAGAGCUUGCUCUUACGGGUGGCGAGUGGCGGACGGGUGAGGAAUACAUCGGAAUCUACUUUUUCGUGGGGGAUAACGUAGGGAAACUUACGCUAAUACCGCAUACGACCUACGGGUGAAAGCAGGGGAUCUUCGGACCUUGCGCGAUUGAAUGAGCCGAUGUCGGAUUAGCUAGUUGGCGGGGUAAAGGCCCACCAAGGCGACGAUCCGUAGCUGGUCUGAGAGGAUGAUCAGCCACAUUGGAACUGAGACACGGUCAAGACUCCUACGGGAGGCAGCAGUGGGGAAUAUUGGACAAUGGGCGCAAGCCUGAUCCAGCCAUACCGCGUGGGUGAAGAAGGCCUUCGGGUUGGAAAGCCCUUUUGUUGGGAAAGAAAAGCAGCAGGUUAAUACCCCGCUGUUCUGACGGUACCCAAAGAAUAAGCACCGGCUAACUUCGUG
Molecule: ribosomal RNA, 492 nt
Filed under: uncultured bacterium
Lineage: Bacteria
Description: partial 16S ribosomal RNA
Rfam family: Bacterial small subunit ribosomal RNA
Source: RNAcentral